AACGAACGCUGGCGGCAUGCCUAACACAUGCAAGUCGAACGAAACCUUCGGGUCUAUUGGCGCACGGGUUCGUAAGGCGUGGGAACCUGCCCUUAGGUUCGGAAUAACUCCCCGAAAGGGGUGCUAAUACCGGAUAAUGUCUUCGGACCAAAGAUUUAUCGCCUUUGGAUGGGCCCGCGUUGGAUUAGCUCGUUGGUAGGGUAAAAGCCUACCACGGCGACGAUCCAUAGCUGGUCUGAGAGGAUGAUCAGCCACACUGGGAGUGAGACACGGCCCAGACUCCUACGGGAGGCAGCAGUGGGGGAUAUUGGAAAAUGGGGGAAAGCCUGAUCCAGCACGGCCGGGUGAGUGAUGAAGGCCUUAGGGUUGUAAAGCUCUUUUAACCGGGAUGAUAAUGACGGUACCGGGAGAAUAAGCUCCGGCUAACUCCGUG
This 433-nucleotide ribosomal RNA is filed under the name uncultured bacterium. RNAcentral's name for it is "partial 16S ribosomal RNA". It matches the Rfam family "Bacterial small subunit ribosomal RNA", at positions 29 to 507 of the family's 1533-position model. The record is from RNAcentral.